AAUCUGCCUAUUAGCAAGUCACAAAGAAUAGUUAUGCACUCCUCCAGACUUUGCUGCUUAAGAGAACACAGGGAGAUUGCACUCGAGUGUUUUCAGCUGACACCCACACUACUCCCACCUACAAAAAAGGUCCCCUAUGAACAAUACAGUCUAAACACCAGUAGGAUUAUGGAAAGGCAAACAUGCCUACUAAGAGAACUUUCUUGGGUUUAAAAAAAGAAGAUCGAAUUGCUUGUACCUGCUACUACUAAAGCCAAGAAGGAACUUUCUUGCCAAAGGCAAUGUUUAUGUCUACAAGCAAAGUACAUUACAAAGUUGACAAGGGCAGAAACAAAAAUCUGAGGUUUCUACUGAAGUGUGACUCAAAAUUCACCACAAACUCUCCAAACCAAGCCUCACCAAAUAUGUAGGGGAGUCUUGCCUUCCCUGCAGUCAAGAGGUAAAAUAAAACUGUUCCAGAACUCUGGUCUGCGGGCUGUUACCGGCUUACGAAAAAUCAAUUCAACAUAUCAGUUGUUCUUCAGAAUGGUGUCUAGACUGCUGCAGAGAGCCUGGAAGUCUAACAGGGACAAGAAUAAGAAACUGAAUCUCUAUCAAUAUACAAGGAUGAGCACAAACCACCACAGAUGGCAAUGGCACCAUUGGGCCUGGACCUUGCUGACAGCCACCAUCAGGCAAAACAUGCUCAGAGAAGCAAGAAAUAAAGGAAGCCCAGAUGGUUUGCCAACAUGUCCCAGCAGGCAGGGAAGCCAAGUAACAGUGAGGCAUAUGCAAAGGAGAAAGAUCGUGAGUGAACUUGAGAAGCAUGUGCAGGGGAACACCAUGUGAUGGUGAUAACGUAGCUGAGGAGUAUGGGAAAAAAAUAGGAGAAAGAGGGGAAAAAAAAAAGUAAUCAAACGCAAGGGCAAGCAGUAAUUUUUAACUAGUGCACAUACUACAUUUAGGACAGCUAAAUAUAUUACUCUAUCCACAUAAGCAAUUGUUAUAGCUGCAGCAUACUACUGUAUGUACUUCGUACAUAAGGUACGAAAUUUUAACUCUACUUAGUAGAAGUGCUCUUCUACUAAGAUGCUCAAGCCCUAAAAACAGAUUUCUGCAUCUUAAAUAACAAAAAAUACCUUAAGAGAAUUACUCCGCAGCAAAUUCUGCUAUAUAGGUGAGUUAUACAAAAGAAUCAGAUUCUCAGAAUAAGGAGGUUCCAAGUUUGAACUCUACCAAAGUCAUGUCAAGCAACAUGCCCCAAGACCACAUUUCCCUGACUUCUGUGGAAGUCACUGGUUUCCACUGCAGUUUUACCAGUAGCACUUUUCAAGUGUUUUCAGUAAGUUUUUUUCCUACAGUAUAUCACAGCACGUUCAAUAACUGUCACUUGCCUUAUGAAAAUAGCUAAUCAAAGAGAUCAAAUACAGGGGUCAGACAGAGACAACUGAGUGAUUAGCCACACUUUUGUUCUCAGCUAUUCACUCUACUUCUCUAGCAGAUGCUGAUACCUAACAAUGCAAGGAUCCACUCAUGAAGCAGAUGCCAAGAGCCAACAAUUCAGGCUGCACAAAGAUGCUCAGCUCUGCAGCAUUCAGCAACUGCUUCACAAGUGGAUCAUUCCUGCCUUGGGCACCAGGCCAGAAGGCAAUUUAGACAACUGGUAUUGAUAGAAGCUUCUGCGAUCCAAUUCAGAUCUGUCGUUACAUGACUGCCAGAGCCUUGAGUAAUAGCUAAGUUACUACAGAAAACCUAGCUGAACAACUUCAACUAUGUACCCAUUGCUUCCUCUGCACUUGCUUUUCAAAUAAUCAUUUAAGUUAGAGCAGUAACUCAUCUUCCAACUUAAAAGACACUCGAAGAGCAUUUUCGAAGAUCCAUAAGAAAGAUGCAGUAGACGGCAUCCGACCAGACCUGCAGUAGAGACAACAUGGUGGAGAUGUAAGUCUUCCUGAACAAAAACUUAUCUUAAAAAAAUUCUUUCACAAAAGUAAUGAUGAUUUGAAUUAUUUAAACCCCAGAGUGCCCAGUAUUUUUCAGUAUAUAUUUGGAACAAAUGCGUGACUACUGGAGGAAUUGCCUCCUACACAUCUACUCACUCACAUCUUGCUUUCAUGCAGAGACUUAACAAUGAGGGGAAAAAAAGACUUUGUUUUUUCUUAUUAUCAGAUUUUGCUUUGUAUUUUGGAGCUGAAGUACUUUAUUUAGUCUUUUGCAAGUAAACCAGGAGAUAAAUCGUGCUCUGUGGUAACAUCUAUUCUCAGCUCUGAAAUGGUCUUAUAUAAGAUUGUAUCUAUAUACACACAUGUAUAUAUACAUCUAUAUAUC
Molecule: long non-coding RNA, 2307 nt
Filed under: Strigops habroptila (Kakapo)
Lineage: Eukaryota; Metazoa; Chordata; Aves; Psittaciformes; Psittacidae
Description: lncRNA (ENSSHBG00005013765.1)
Source: RNAcentral